CAGUAGCCGCGGGAAAACAGAGGGUGCGAGCGUUAAUCGGAUUUACUGGGCGUAAAGCGUGCGUAGGCGGCUUUUUAAGUCGGAUGUGAAAUCCCUGAGCUUAACUUAGGAAUUGCAUUCGAUACUGGGAAGCUAGAGUAUGGGAGAGGAUGGUAGAAUUCCAGGUGUAGCGGUGAAAUGCGUAGAGAUCUGGAGGAAUACCGAUGGCGAAGGCAGCCAUCUGGCCUAAUACUGACGCUGAGGUACGAAAGCAUGGGGAGCAAACAGGAUUAGAUACCCGAGUAGUCCCUGUCUCUUAUAA
This 301-nucleotide ribosomal RNA is filed under the name uncultured bacterium. Its description in RNAcentral is "partial 16S ribosomal RNA". It matches the Rfam family "Bacterial small subunit ribosomal RNA", at positions 509 to 809 of the family's 1533-position model. The record is from RNAcentral.